Molecule: ribosomal RNA, 398 nt
Filed under: uncultured bacterium
Lineage: Bacteria
Description: partial 16S ribosomal RNA
Rfam family: Bacterial small subunit ribosomal RNA
Source: RNAcentral
CCUACGGGAGGCUGCAGUGAGGAAUAUUGGUCAAUGGUCGCGAGACUGAACCAGCCAAGCCGCGUGAAGGAUGACUGUACAGCGUGUUGUAAACUUCUUUUGUCAGGGAAUAAAGUGAGGCACGUGUGCCUGUUUGUAUGUACUUUAUGAAUAAGGAUCGGCUAACUCCGUGCCAGCAGCCGCGGUAAUACGGAGGAUCCGAGCGUUAUCCGGAUUUAUUGGGUUUAAAGGGAGCGUAGACGGUCCUGCAAGCCAGGGGUGAAAGCCCGGGGCCCAACCCCGGGACUGCCGUUGAAACUGGGCGGCUCGAGUGCGAGAGAGGCAUGCGGAAUGCGCGGUGUAGCGGUGAAAUGCGUAGAUAUCAGGCAGAACACCGAUGGCGAAGGCAGCCUGCUGGA